Molecule: ribosomal RNA, 497 nt
Filed under: uncultured bacterium
Lineage: Bacteria
Description: partial 16S ribosomal RNA
Rfam family: Bacterial small subunit ribosomal RNA
Source: RNAcentral
GACGAACGCUGGCGGCGUGCCUAAUACAUGCAAGUUGAGCGCUGAAGGUUGGUCCUUGUACCAACUGGAUGAGCAGCGAACGGGUGAGUAACGCGUGGGGAAUCUGCCUUUGAGCGGGGGACAACAUUUGGAAACGAAUGCUAAUACCGCAUAAAAACUUUAAACACAAGUUUUAAGUUUGAAAGAUGCAAUUGCAUCACUCAAAGAUGAUCCCGCGUUGUAUUAGCUAGUUGGUGAGGUAAAGGCUCACCAAGGCGAUGAUACAUAGCCGACCUGAGAGGGUGAUCGGCCACAUUGGGAAUGAGACACGGCCCAAACUCCUACGGGAGGCAGCAGGAGGGAAUCUUCGGCAAUGGACGAAAGUCUGACCGAGCAACGCCGCGUGAGUGAAGAAGGGUUUCGGAUCGUAAAACUCUGUUGGUAGAGAAGAACGUUGGUGAGAGUGGAAAGCGCAUCAAGUGACGGUAACUACCCAGAAAGGGACGGCUAACUACGUG